This 434-nucleotide ribosomal RNA is filed under the name uncultured Lachnospiraceae bacterium. RNAcentral describes it as "bacterial SSU rRNA". It matches the Rfam family "Bacterial small subunit ribosomal RNA", at positions 341 to 792 of the family's 1533-position model. Lineage: Bacteria; Bacillati; Bacillota; Clostridia; Lachnospirales; Lachnospiraceae. The record is from RNAcentral.
ACGGAAGGCAGCAGUGGGGAAUAUUGCACAAUGGGGGAAACCCUGAUGCAGCGACGCCGCGUGGGUGAAGAAGUUUUUCGGAAUGUAAAGCCCUAUCAGCAGGGAAGAUAAUGACGGUACCUGACUAAGAAGCCCCGGCUAACUACGUGCCAGCAGCCGCGGUAAUACGUAGGGGGCAAGCGUUAUCCGGAUUUACUGGGUGUAAAGGGAGCGUAGACGGAAUAGCAAGUCUGAAGUGAAAUGUAGGGGCUCAACCCCUGAACUGCUUUGGAAACUGUUGAUCUUGAGUACCGGAGGGGCAGGCGGAAUUCCUGGUGUAGCGGUGAAAUGCGUAGAUAUCAGGAAGAACACCGGUGGCGAAGGCGGCCUGCUGGACGGUAACUGACGUUGAGGCUCGAAAGCGUGGGGAGCAAACAGGAUUAGAUACCCUGGUA